Molecule: ribosomal RNA, 301 nt
Filed under: uncultured bacterium
Lineage: Bacteria
Description: partial 16S ribosomal RNA
Rfam family: Bacterial small subunit ribosomal RNA
Source: RNAcentral
CAGUCGCCGCGGUAAUACGAAGGGGGCUAGCGUUGCUCGGAAUGACUGGGCGUAAAGGGCGCGUAGGCGGUUGUUACAGUCAGAUGUGAAAUUCCUGGGCUCAACCUGGGGACUGCAUUUGAUACGUGACGACUUGGGUGGAGGAGAGGGUCGUGGAAUUUCCAGUGUAGAGGUGAAAUUCGUAGAUAUUGGAAAGAACACCGGUGGCGAAGGCGGCGACCUGGCCUUUAACUGACGCUGAGGCGCGAAAGCGUGGGGAGCAAACAGGAUUAGAUACCCCGGUAGUCCCUGUCUCUUAUAA